Molecule: long non-coding RNA, 1233 nt
Filed under: Homo sapiens (human)
Lineage: Eukaryota; Metazoa; Chordata; Mammalia; Primates; Hominidae
Description: HSALNT0137587
Source: RNAcentral
AAGAAUAGCAUUUUUUUAAAUUAUAUAAAUUUAAAACUGAUAAUGACGUUUUACACCACAAACAAUUACAAAUCUCUUUUAGCAGAAAGUGUGUGUGGUUUGUGAAAUGAAAUCAGGAACAGUGGCUCGAUGUUCAAUGCACAUGGGCAGAAAUGUUCACUUUAAACUCAGAUGCUGAAACUUUAAAACAGCUGAAACUCAUGCCCCAAUAAUCAUUAAAGGAAGGACCAGAAGAAAAGAGCAGUAAGCUGGGCUUAUUAUUAAUUUGUAGGCUAGUAAUUAUCGAUAGGUUAAGAAAUUGCUUUGUUACUGGCUUUUUUAAAAAAAUCCUGGUACUGUUAAUAUUUCUAUUGUUUAUAUGAGACGUCAGUGUAACAAAUUGGAAUUCUCAUUUUCCCAGUGCUCCCUCCUAGCUAGCAAUGAUAACAUAUGUGCCUUUGGAUCUGUAGUAUUUCUAAACAUGGUUCUGCUACACACUUUCCAAUAAAGUUAAACAAGAAUUCUUUGUUGAGCUAUGUAAUAUUUAGAGGGGAGGAUAGGGGAAUAAAUCUUAACUACUGCGAAUUGUUUCCCUUCAGCCUAACUCUGAAGGAGAUCCUUGUUGGUUUUUUCAUUACUGUACUACUAGGCUGUUUACUUUGUUACACUUUUGUGGAAGGGAGCAGAACUUAGUAAAUAAUAAAAAAUAAAAAAUAAGUGGGGAGAGUUUAAUAAAAUAAGCAAAAAAUAAAUGAAAUAUAGAAGUAAAGUAAUAAUGCACUUUUAGUUAGAAAAAUUUGUUUCUAUGCUCUGUGCUAUAAUUAACAUAAGCUCUUAUGCCGCUCAAUUUAUCUAAUGAAAACAAUAUUUCAAGCAGAAGAAAUAGGCAUUAUAGUUAUUUACUGUUUCUACAGAAAAAUAUUAUUCAAACAUGAAUCUUAUCUGUUUAUAGGACCUGUCAAAUAGCUAUUAUAAACAAAUGAUAAGAGAAUAAUAAAUGCUGGAGAAAUGGCUUUUCUUUUGGAGGUAGGCUUGAAUAAUUUUGAGUUUAGAAAACAUUUUAGACACUCUAAUUUGGUAAAAGUCCUAAAAUUACACUUCACUUACAUUCUAGCUAACUGCAUUUUUCACUUUUUAAACCUGUUGAAAAAUCUUAUUUCCAAACUUGAUGGAAUGGUAAAGGAUUUUUUUAAAGUGUUUAUAAUGAAACAUUUUUAAUAGCUAGUUUUAAGAGUAUAUCUAUAAUGGAAAUAC